Molecule: ribosomal RNA, 382 nt
Filed under: uncultured bacterium
Lineage: Bacteria
Description: bacterial SSU rRNA
Rfam family: Bacterial small subunit ribosomal RNA
Source: RNAcentral
AUUGAACGCUGGCGGCAUGCCUAACACAUGCAAGUCGAACGGCAGCGCGGGGGAGCUUGCUCCCUGGCGGCGAGUGGCGGACGGGUGAGUAAUACUUAGGAAUCUGCCCAGUAGUGGGGGACAACCCGGGGAAACCCGGGCUAAUACCGCGUAAUCUCUUCGGAGGAAAGAGGGCCUCUUCUUGAAAGCUCUCGCUAUUGGAUGAGCCUAAGUCGGAUUAGCUUGUUGGUGGGGUAAAAGCCACCAAGGCGACGAUCCGUAGCUGGUCUGAGAGGACGAUCAGCCACACUGGGACUGAGACACGGCCCAGACUCCUACGGGAGGCAGCAGUGGGGAAUAUUGGACAAUGGGGGCAACCCUGAUCCAGCAAUGCCGCGUGUGU